This 1260-nucleotide ribosomal RNA is filed under the name Staphylococcus aureus. Its description in RNAcentral is "partial 23S ribosomal RNA". It matches the Rfam family "Bacterial large subunit ribosomal RNA", at positions 1 to 1262 of the family's 2925-position model. Lineage: Bacteria; Bacillati; Bacillota; Bacilli; Caryophanales; Staphylococcaceae. The record is from RNAcentral.
GAUUAAGUUAUUAAGGGCGCACGGUGGAUGCCUUGGCACUAGAAGCCGAUGAAGGACGUUACUAACGACGAUAUGCUUUGGGGAGCUGUAAGUAAGCUUUGAUCCAGAGAUUUCCGAAUGGGGAAACCCAGCAUGAGUUAUGUCAUGUUAUCGAUAUGUGAAUACAUAGCAUAUCAGAAGGCACACCCGGAGAACUGAAACAUCUUAGUACCCGGAGGAAGAGAAAGAAAAUUCGAUUCCCUUAGUAGCGGCGAGCGAAACGGGAAGAGCCCAAACCAACAAGCUUGCUUGUUGGGGUUGUAGGACACUCUAUACGGAGUUACAAAGGACGACAUUAGACGAAUCAUCUGGAAAGAUGAAUCAAAGAAGGUAAUAAUCCUGUAGUCGAAAAUGUUGUCUCUCUUGAGUGGAUCCUGAGUACGACGGAGCACGUGAAAUUCCGUCGGAAUCUGGGAGGACCAUCUCCUAAGGCUAAAUACUCUCUAGUGACCGAUAGUGAACCAGUACCGUGAGGGAAAGGUGAAAAGCACCCCGGAAGGGGAGUGAAAUAGAACCUGAAACCGUGUGCUUACAAGUAGUCAGAGCCCGUUAAUGGGUGAUGGCGUGCCUUUUGUAGAAUGAACCGGCGAGUUACGAUUUGAUGCAAGGUUAAGCAGUAAAUGUGGAGCCGUAGCGAAAGCGAGUCUGAAUAGGGCGUUUAGUAUUUGGUCGUAGACCCGAAACCAGGUGAUCUACCCUUGGUCAGGUUGAAGUUCAGGUAACACUGAAUGGAGGACCGAACCGACUUACGUUGAAAAGUGAGCGGAUGAACUGAGGGUAGCGGAGAAAUUCCAAUCGAACCUGGAGAUAGCUGGUUCUCUCCGAAAUAGCUUUAGGGCUAGCCUCAAGUGAUGAUUAUUGGAGGUAGAGCACUGUUUGGACGAGGGGCCCCUCUCGGGUUACCGAAUUCAGACAAACUCCGAAUGCCAAUUAAUUUAACUUGGGAGUCAGAACAUGGGUGAUAAGGUCCGUGUUCGAAAGGGAAACAGCCCAGACCACCAGCUAAGGUCCCAAAAUAUAUGUUAAGUGGAAAAGGAUGUGGCGUUGCCCAGACAACUAGGAUGUUGGCUUAGAAGCAGCCAUCAUUUAAAGAGUGCGUAAUAGCUCACUAGUCGAGUGACACUGCGCCGAAAAUGUACCGGGGCUAAACAUAUUACCGAAGCUGUGGAUUGUCCUUUGGACAAUGGUAGGAGAGCGUUCUAAGGGCGUUGAAGCAUGAUC